GAAUCCCGUGAACCAUCGAGUCU
Molecule: non-coding RNA, 23 nt
Filed under: Arabidopsis thaliana (thale cress)
Lineage: Eukaryota; Viridiplantae; Streptophyta; Magnoliopsida; Brassicales; Brassicaceae
Source: RNAcentral